UACGUAGGGGGCAAGCGUUGUCCGGAUUUAUUGGGCGUAAAGAGCGUGUAGGCGGCCAGGUAGGUCCGUUGUGAAAACUCGAGGCUCAACCUCGAGACGUCGGCGGAAACCCUCUGGCUAGAGUCCGGAAGAGGAGAGUGGAAUUCCUGGUGUAGCGGUGAAAUGCGCAGAUAUCAGGAAGAACACCCGUGGCGAAGGCGGCCCUCUGGGACGGUACUGACGCUGAGACGCGAAAGCGUGGGGAGCAAACAGG
RNAcentral lists this unclassified non-coding RNA (253 nucleotides) under uncultured Gaiellales bacterium. RNAcentral describes it as "contains 16S-23S intergenic spacer region". It matches the Rfam family "Bacterial small subunit ribosomal RNA", at positions 524 to 776 of the family's 1533-position model. The record is from RNAcentral. Lineage: Bacteria; Bacillati; Actinomycetota; Thermoleophilia; Gaiellales.